RNAcentral lists this long non-coding RNA (1964 nucleotides) under Neodiprion lecontei (redheaded pine sawfly). RNAcentral's name for it is "uncharacterized LOC124294461". Lineage: Eukaryota; Metazoa; Arthropoda; Insecta; Hymenoptera; Diprionidae. The record is from RNAcentral.
AAGUAUGAAACAUAGGUUUCAAAACGCUUAGGCCGGUGUCACAUGGUCCGGAAUCAAUCCGGAACGGGACGUCCGGUAGCCAACGGGUGACGAUUUUCCGUUCGAUCCGACGACGGAGAUAUCCGGGCGGUAUGCUCGGCUUAGGAUAAUUAUGAGGUCUUCGACGUCGUUGCAAUUUAUGGCUAUUAAAUAUUGGAAAGCGGGACCUGUGACUUUUGGUUGCGCCAAUUUAGCGAAAGUCAUUUUAACUUGACUACCGCGCAUAAAUUUUCACUCGCUAUGCAGUUAUUCGAUGUAUGAUAAGUAAUGUAAUAGCACCAGGAUGUGGCGAAAUUAGUGAAAUUGAAGAUUCGUUGCACGACUUUUGUUCGUGGCGAGUUUUAGAUUUUGUCAUGUACACACGUCGUAUUUUGAGUUCAGAAUAACUGUCUCAUUCGGAGUUCGUUCGCGGCACGGCUCUCACUAAUUAGUAUGGUGCCGGAAAUAUUGGAAGUUGAAAACUUUUUUUCUAGAAAUUUCGGACCACUAGACUGAGGGGUAGGUUGACGGACAAAGCUGCUGCCACCGGAAUGUUACGGGGUAGAACCCGUAGAUUUCGAGGAGUGGCAACUGAAACCUACUCUACACCCAGCCAAGGCUAUUUUAGAGUUCGUACUCAUCGAUUAUGCACUAACGUGCCACUACUCCCAAUGCAGGAAGUGACUGAAGAGAUGGUUUAAAUGGUAUAGUUGGUUUAUUAUGAAUGAUUCAGUAAUUUAUUUAUAACAGUGGUCGGGAUAUAAGAGGCGGUCUGAGGAAAGAGCUUCGAUUAGUUUUUGAGAGAUGUUAAUUAUAAGUAACUCGUGCGAAAGCUAGGAUUUGAAGAGUUUACAGGAAUGUAGAAGGAUAUCUACUUGCGAGAGAUGAACCUGCUGACUCGGCAAAGAUAAGGGGAGUUAGGGGAUGCAGGGCUUAAAGUGACUGUAAGACUGACAAUGAGGAAAAGGAAUAUGAAGCCUGGAAGACGUAACACCUACUUCAAUUUCUUAAAGUAUAAAAAAAGAAUCCUUCAUCAAAUUUUUUGAACCAACAAAUUAAAAACAAUAGCUUCUACAUAUCUGAUACUUAACAAGUUGGACCUCAUCGGUGAUCAUGACUGGAAAUUUCAGUAGUUGUGAUGAGUGUGAAAUUAAAUAAUCAAAGCUACACAAUUCUUCACGUUGACAAAAUUAACAAAUGAAGCGGUUGUUGAUUGGCAGCUUAAACACCUAAUUGAUGCGAGAGAACAGUGGAGCGAACCUAGUCGCAGAAUAAUACCGUCGCUGCCGCGCAUUGGGAACAAAGAUUUUUGUAGUUGGGGAUGGACGAUUUGCUAAUAAAUAAUUUUACCCUUCCGUGAUAUUACUAUCGAUGAUCUGAAGGAUCGGUUAUUACCUAUAGGUAUAAUUGGUAUAUACAAAUCCGAAAAUCCUGAAAUUUUCGGACUAUGAAAGUGUAGUCCCUGCAUUCCACGGAGGACCGACGGAUAACUGAGUGACAGAACGAAUCGGUUCUGCAACAUAUAGUAUGGACUACACGAUACCCAAUUGAAGCCAAUCGCUAUCUUUUUCGAAGACUCUUUUUGGUUACUUUUUUCACCGCUCACAUAAUGUCAGGGACGCCUUACCAGAUAGUGAAUCCUGCCCACACAACCUUAUAACGACAUCGUUAAAUUGGAAUCUAAAUAAUUUAUAGAUUCUCUAUUUACGAGAACAUUUUUUAAUGAGAAUAUUUGAAAGAACAUUUUCAUUAUCAUGGUGUACACGUAUUUCAUCUGCAACGCAAGAUCAGAUAAGUCACAAGGUUUAUCAUUCUAUCGAUGAGUAAUAUUGUGUGAUUAUAAUUAGCCUCGGAUGUGCUACGCAUUCAAAAACUUGUGUGAAUUUUAUGUUAAUUCGAGAUUAUAAAUUACGCUCAGACAUGACCAAAAGACAAUACUGGCUAGA